Molecule: ribosomal RNA, 328 nt
Filed under: uncultured eukaryote
Lineage: Eukaryota
Description: partial 18S ribosomal RNA
Rfam family: Eukaryotic small subunit ribosomal RNA
Source: RNAcentral
CCCUUAGAUGUCCGGGGCUGCACGCGCGCUACACUGAAGGAAUCAGCGUGCUAAAACCAUUGUCGAAAGGCAUUGGUAAACCCAUUAAAAUCCUACGUGAUUGGGAUCGGGAAUUGCAAUUAUUUCCCUUGAACGAGGAAUUCCCAGUAAGUGUGGGUCAUAAGCUCGCGUUGAUUACGUCCCUGCCCUUUGUACACACCGCCCGUCGCUGCCCGGGACUGAGCCGUUUCGAGAAAAGCGGGGACUGCUGCUGUCGGGGCUUUCGGGCCUUGGCUUCGGUGGAAACCGCUUUAAUCGCAGUGGCUUGAAUCGGGCAAAAGUCGUAACA